This 211-nucleotide unclassified non-coding RNA is filed under the name Ilyonectria robusta. Its description in RNAcentral is "partial internal transcribed spacer region". The stretch from base 1 to 46 matches the Rfam family "Eukaryotic small subunit ribosomal RNA", at positions 1786 to 1831 of the family's 1831-position model. Lineage: Eukaryota; Fungi; Ascomycota; Sordariomycetes; Hypocreales; Nectriaceae. The record is from RNAcentral.
AAGUCGUAACAAGGUCUCCGUUGGUGAACCAGCGGAGGGAUCAUUACCGAGUUUACAACUCCCAAACCCCUGUGAACAUACCAUAUUGUUGCCUCGGCGGUGCCUGUUUCGGCAGCCCGCCAGAGGACCCAAACCCUAGAUUACAUUAAAGUAUCUUCUGAGUCAAUGAUUAAAUCAAUCAAAACUUUCAACAACGGAUCUCUUGGUUCUG